This 207-nucleotide ribosomal RNA is filed under the name uncultured denitrifying bacterium. RNAcentral describes it as "partial 16S ribosomal RNA". It matches the Rfam family "Bacterial small subunit ribosomal RNA", at positions 265 to 489 of the family's 1533-position model. The record is from RNAcentral.
CUACCAAGGCGACGAUCAGUAGCUGGUCUGAGAGGAUGAUCAGCCACAUUGGGACUGAGACACGGCCCAAACUCCUACGGGAGGCAGCAGUGGGGAAUAUUGGACAAUGGGGGCAACCCUGAUCCAGCCAUGCCGCGUGAGUGAUGAAGGCCCUAGGGUUGUAAAGCUCUUUUGUGCGGGAAGAUAAUGACGGUACCGCUAGAAGAA